CUGUCAGUGAAUUCUUGGCAUCUGCUGUUUAGUCACUAUUAUAAAUGAAUAUUCAAACAGGAAAAACAAAUAGAGCAGGAAUUAAUUUGUUAGAUGAGCACAAUUUACUGCAAGGAAUCACAGACGAUUUUUAGACCAUCAGCACGACUGUUUUGCCCCAUAAGGGAGGAAAAAACACAAAUGACAGAAUUCUCCUGUGUGGGUUUAUAAGAGCGAACUGUCCAUCCUGCCAAGAGGGAGAGAGAGACACAAUCUCCUGGGAGGAAGACUGAGCCAGGGGAGCUGUCUCUGAGUGUCACCAAGGGAACAUAAUAUGUGUGGAGACCUAUUUGAUCUUCUCAAGAUUCACCUGGGAACACGUGCCUAUCACCAUGAAGAUCAGUGAAAUAUAGCAGACCCCACUGAAGACCUCCAAAAUCUGUCCAAGAAUGAAAUUCAGCAG
This is a long non-coding RNA of Cyprinus carpio carpio, 442 nucleotides long. NCBI's taxonomy places the organism in Eukaryota, Metazoa, Chordata, Actinopteri, Cypriniformes, Cyprinidae. The record is from Ensembl.